AAUACGCCUCGAGAUCACGAUACAGACAUAACACAUUUUUUUUGUGCGAAUUUAUUCAUUGGUGAGUACACCCGCUUAUCAUUAUUAUAAUAUACUCACGAGACCGAGUAUACAUAUUACGUAUAGUUUAUACAUUUUCUAGUCUGUUACAAAUUUAUGUUAUUGUGUGUUUUUUAUUAUUGUUUGCAGUCUUCACUUCGUUUCACGAAAACCAAAACCAAAUAUCAAAAAUGGGCGCUGAAAAGAUAUCCAUGAACGUCGUUGUCGUCGGACAAGUCCAAUCUGCCAAAGCCCCCAAAACCGUCGCCAUGGCCGCCCCAGCCACCAGCCAAUUGAUGGUGAGCGUACUAUUUUAAUAUCCGUACUUAUUAUUGUUAUAGUUAUUACCCACUUGUUAAACUGUUUCAUAUGAGGCGAUGCAAUUGUGUUUUAUAAACAAUUUUUUUCUUCAUAAAAUAUUAACAAAAACUUCCAGAUUAAAACUUUUCGGCGAUAAAAUGAUUAGUCUAGAUGUAUAUUAAUUUUUCCUCUGGAAAACACAAUGUGUACUAUUUUUUUUUCCGACCCGUCAUCAAAAUCUAUUGUUUGAAUAAAUUGUUUUUUUUUAUUUUAUUUUUUUUUAUUACCGAUCCAUCAUGCAUUUUAUAGUGAAUAUUUUAAUUAAGAAAAUAUUUUAAUACACUUCGUUACUGAAGACAAUUCUUAAACUCUAUAAUUCUUUGAUAAAAUAAUAUAUUACUCGAACGAAAAUAAAUUAUACAUAUCAAAAUUAUUGUAAUUAUUUGUUUGCACAUUCAGGGUGUUUCAAGUAAAUAUCGCAAACGCAAUAAAUUUCGUACUGUUCAGUAUUCCCGUGUUUUAAUUUGUUUUUUUUAAGAAUUUAUUGCGAUACCUAUAGUUUGUGUAUUUUAUAAUUUUAAAAACUAAAAAUAAAAAAAAAAAUUAUUUUUUACAAAAUUGGAAAUAGCGAUUUUAUAAAUGUAUAAUAUUUGAAAAAAAAAAUGUUUAUGUUCUAUAUGUUUACUAAUGAUAAUACGUUAACUGUCUACAAUCUUUUGAAGUCCACGAUAAUUUAAUUUGUUUCAUUACCGCUACUGAAUAACACAAAUCAGUUUACCAUUUAUUCAUAAAAAAUAAUUUCUAUAAAAAUCAAACAAUUUUAGAAACUUUUUAUCAUAAGUAAAUAUUUGUAACAACAAAAUUUUGUUUAAAAAUAUACUUGUAAAAUAAAUAUGUAUAUAUAAAAUGCGAAUUAAAAAUGUCUAUUAUUAGUUUAAAAAAAAAAAACACAUUAAAUUGAGGGAUCCUAUAGUGCAAGACACUAGUAAUUAUUAAGAGAAAAGAAAAAUUCAAAAAUAGUUUACAGAACAAAAGUUAUUACAUUUAUCAUAUCUCCGUGAUACAUCCUGUGAAGUAACUUCAGUCGUUUAAGAACAUUGUACUUACCUACAUUUACCUCAUACAUAUAUUUAUUUAAUUUUUAUUGUUUUUUUUUUUUUCAGUCCUGUUAAAAUCACCUAAUCCACACAUUGCAAACUCAAAAAUGACAUAGCCCAAACAAUAUUAUGUAAUUAUUUAUUAAUAACAUGUAUUGACACUUCGAAAUAAACCAGUUUUAUCCGUUUACGAUGAAUUUU
This is a non-coding RNA of Cinara cedri, 1637 nucleotides long. The record is from the annotation of a GenBank genome assembly. Lineage: Eukaryota; Metazoa; Arthropoda; Insecta; Hemiptera; Aphididae.